AACCUGCGGAAGGAUCAUUAAUGAACUCUCGAUGGGGGAUGCGGUUGCUGCUGGACUUCCUUGCAAGUCAACGUGCACACCCAUCUUCCUUCCCGUUCGACCAAUCUAUCCCCAUCUGUGCACCUCUCGUGAGCCGAGAACUCUCUCGGCUUAUGUGCUUUCCACAACRCAUCUCAUUAUAUGAAUGAAUGAGCAGCCGUCCGAGCUUGRACUCGACGCUAACAGUAACACACAACUUUCAACAACGGAUCUCUUGGCUCUCGCAUCGAUGAAGAACGCAGCGAAAUGCGAUAAGUAAUGUGAAUUGCAGAAUUCAGUGAAUCAUCGAAUCUUUGAACGCACCUUGCGCCCCUUGGUACUCCGGGGGGCAUGCCUGUUUGAGUGUCAUCAGACCAUCAACCCGAGCGGUUCUUGAGCCAAUCGGAAUUUGGAGUUUGCGGCGUGCGGGGAAGGGCUCUCGCGGGCCUCCGCUCCUCGCGGAAUGCAUCAGCGGACGUCCACCUGCGGGACCGUGCUUGGCGUGAUAGACAUCUACGUCUCGGCUCGGGCCUGCGUCUGUUGGCUCCGCUUCGAAUUGUCGCGCGCGACAAAGCUAUUGACGACCUGACCUCAAAUCA
RNAcentral lists this ribosomal RNA (617 nucleotides) under Cora sp. Dal Forno 1962. RNAcentral's name for it is "eukaryotic LSU rRNA". Lineage: Eukaryota; Fungi; Basidiomycota; Agaricomycetes; Agaricales; Hygrophoraceae. The record is from RNAcentral.